This 484-nucleotide ribosomal RNA is filed under the name uncultured bacterium. Its description in RNAcentral is "partial 16S ribosomal RNA". It matches the Rfam family "Bacterial small subunit ribosomal RNA", at positions 28 to 507 of the family's 1533-position model. The record is from RNAcentral.
AUUGAACGCUGGCGGCAUGCUUUACACAUGCAAGUCGAACGGCAGCGCGGGCCUCGUCUUGGCGGCGAGUGGCGCACGGGUGUGUAAUGCAUCGGAAUGUGCUCAGCAGUGGGGGAUAGUCCGGCGAAAGCCGGAUUAAUACUGCAUAAGACCUGAUGGUGAAAGCGGGGGGCCGAAAGGCCUCGUGCUAUUGGAGGGGUCGAUGUCGGACUUGCUAGCUGGUGGGGUAAAGGCUUACUAAGGCGACGAUCCGCAGCUGGUCUGAGAGGACGACAGGCCACACUAGAGCUUGGCCAGGGCCAAGACUACUACGAGAGGCAGCAGUGGGGAAUUUUAGGCAGUGGGGGCGAACCUGACCCAACCAUGCCGCGUGCGAGGAAGCGGCGUUCGGGUUGUGAACCGGUUUUGUUCGGGAAGAACUCCUCUGGGCUGAUACCCCGCGGGAAUGACGGUACCGGAAAAAUAAGCACCGGCUAACUACGUG